RNAcentral lists this ribosomal RNA (468 nucleotides) under uncultured bacterium. RNAcentral describes it as "bacterial SSU rRNA". It matches the Rfam family "Bacterial small subunit ribosomal RNA", at positions 28 to 524 of the family's 1533-position model. The record is from RNAcentral.
GAUGAACGCUGGCGGCGUGCCUAACACAUGCAAGUCGAGCGAUUCUCUUCGGAGAAGAGCGGCGGACGGGUGAGUAACGCGUGGGUAACCUGCCCUGUACACACGGAUAACAUACCGAAAGGUAUGCUAAUACGAGAUAAUAUACUUUUAUCGCAUGGUAGAAGUAUCAAAGCUUUUGCGGUACAGGAUGGACCCGCGUCUGAUUAGCUAGUUGGUAAGGUAACGGCUUACCAAGGCGACGAUCAGUAGCCGACCUGAGAGGGUGAUCGGCCACAUUGGAACUGAGACACGGUCCAAACUCCUACGGGAGGCAGCAGUGGGGAAUAUUGCACAAUGGGCGAAAGCCUGAUGCAGCAACGCCGCGUGAGCGAUGAAGGCCUUCGGUCGUAAAGCUCUGUCCUCAAGGAAGAUAAUGACGGUACUUGAGGAGGUAGCCCCGGCUAACUACGUGCCAGCAGCCGCGGUAAU